CCGCCGCCUUCCUGCCGCGCCGCCCUUACGCUGUUCCAUGCGCCCCCACCGCCGCGCCAUCUCCCACCGCCGCCGCUCCGCCCAAGGUACCCCUGCUGUUAUUACUGGCUCAAUUUCUUCUGCCCUGUACCGAGUAAAUCAUGGAUGUGGCCCCCUCCCCUCGCGAAGGAGGCGGCAGCCCUGCCCACGCGAAGGAAGUGGAAGCUGCGUUGGCGAGCCGCGCCGCCACCAAACUCCCACUGUCAAGUUUGAGGAGGUUCUAGAUUUCGGGAGGAGCGUUCGGAGUUAACUGCAAUAUCUCCAUCUAAUUUCAGUCCGAGUAAAUUUAGUGCGAGUCUUUUCGUCAGGUGGGAUGUGCAUCUGCUCAUUAUCUAUAUGCAAGAUGCAGUCUGCUACAUCACUUCUAUUUUGUUGGAGAGGUUCAUCUCAACUUUGUUUGGCCUCCUGGCUGGCUGGCUCUAUCUGAAUGUUCAGCUGCUCCUGAACGCAAAUAAUUUCCAAUUUACUUCAAAUUGAUAAUGCAUUUAUUAUAUGCCGGUUACAUUGAUUUUACAAAUUUCUGUAUAAUGCAGCUUAUAGCUGAGCUGUUAUCGGCAUCUGUUUUUUAGCACAUAAACAACUACACCAAACCUUUCUGAUAAGAAUGCUGUACCAAAUUUUUCUGAUACAGGAACAUGUUUCUGUCAGAACGAUGCUUUCAGAACAGCAGCUGUAGUCUUUUACUAAUUCAGUGCUACGCACUUUACUCCCCUGUUAGACUGUGAUCUUUUAAGCCAUGCAUGUCUUCUGCUAAGAAAACUAAAGUGAUAGCUGAUUUCAUGAGUAGUAGUAUGCCUAAAUUGCAUUUUGUUUGGCCUCAAGUCUGGUUCCGUGAGAAUGUUCAGCUGCUCCUGAAUUUAAAUAUUUGCCCAUUAUCUUCAACUUUAAAACUAAUCAUAAGCCAGCUGAAAUAUGACUGAAUUGUAAAAGAAUCUAUGAACCAGUCAAGAUUAGGCAAUUGUAGGGCAUGGUGACCAACGUGUUGCCUCCAGCCUAUGCUUGUCUAUCUUUUCGCGAUUUAGUUUGCUCAUAUAGCUUUAUCAAUAGUCAUACUACUUUCCUAGCUCAUGUAUGUGGGUUACAUUGAUUAUACAAUUUUCUGUCAGCAGUCUUCAUUCUAGAACAGCAUUACAGCUGAGCACGUUACUUGCAUCUGCUUUUUUAGCACAACAUUUCUUUUAUCACAACAUGUAUUUACAUAUGCAACUAAUUAUACCAAGUCUCUCAGAGAAAAUAUUUCUGAUAAGGAAGCUGUUAAGAUUACCAAUCUUUUCUGGUACAGGAACAUGUAUCUAGCUGAAUGCUGCCUACAGGAACAGCUGUUAUAAUUUUUUUAUUAAUUCAGUGCUAUGCCAAAUCUUUUUCUUCCUUUUCUUUAUGAGUUGACUAAAUAUUCAGUUCUCAGGUUGUUACAAUAUAAUAUGAGGCGUUGAGUAUUGCACUACAAGGAGUUCGGACUCCUUAUAUUCUCAUAUAUUGAAAGCUGAUGGCAGCAUGAACUUGAUGGAUAUAAACCAGAGGACCAGGUCUAAUACUGUUUUAGAGGUUUGUCACUUGCUAGCUCAUUUUGUAAUACAUUAUUGAGAUCUGAUAGUUUCAAUGAUCAAUUUGAUCAGUAAACCUUUACCCAGUUGAGAAAGCUUUCAGGUGACAAUUUUAGUGUCUCGAGACAAGCUGACAAUUUGGGUAUUUCGCCAAUGCAUGCGCCCAACUUAUUCUCACCAAACAUUACCUGUCUAAACUGUUUUUGCUUGAAAAUUAACCUUAUUCUCAAAUGGUGUAGGAAUAGUCUCUUAGCAACAUUCAUAUGAAACUUAGAAUCUCUCAUACAAUUAUUUGUUCUGAUCAUAAUUAAUUUCGUAUAAUUUUAUUUUUUUCUUCUGAUUUUAGUUUGUGAAUCCAUAUACAAAAUAGGCCUUGAAGGGACUAAUUAUUCGAAGGAAGAGACCAACCUAAAGGGUUUCAAGGAAUGCUUGUUUUUAUACCGCAGUUUCUCUAUGUUGGAACUGGAUAUCACUGUAUUGUAUUUCAGAGCACGAUUGAUUUUGUUGAAGUGUAGGGAAUCCUAUUCUUCUUACAUGAUUUCAGAAAGCAUAUCUGGAGGAUGAUAUUAAGAAAGGCCAGCGAAUUAGGUCAAUGAGCCUUGCAAUAUGGCCUUGGAACCUGAAAAGGCAUUUGCCAUAUAUUUGUAUGAAUUUGCAAAGACUGAGGAUUUUGGAAAGAAGAAGAAAGAACUUGGCUCCAAGAGGGGGAGAUUUGAGGAAACAUACAAGAAACAGAAUAGCUUUCUUAUUUGUAAUUGAUGAAACAUAUCAAAUUUACAAAUUAUGAAGCGAAAAAUCUGAAUAUUUUGAGUUUUUUAUUUCUACGCUAAUGUCUCUCCAUUGCGGCCAUUGAGCCAGCUAUAACAUUUUCCAACGUUGUUUUGUACUUCAUAAAGGCUCUUUUCAUAUCUUCUAUUCUAGACUUCUUUUGUUACACGUUGUUAGUUCUGCAGAAUGACCGAAUGAUAUUGUUGCUUUGGUA
Panicum hallii is the source of this 2565-nucleotide long non-coding RNA. RefSeq lists it as uncharacterized. The record is from RefSeq and is a predicted model, not a curated record. Lineage: Eukaryota; Viridiplantae; Streptophyta; Magnoliopsida; Poales; Poaceae. The transcript is spliced from 4 exons.